RNAcentral lists this ribosomal RNA (465 nucleotides) under Vreelandella stevensii. RNAcentral's name for it is "partial 16S ribosomal RNA". It matches the Rfam family "Bacterial small subunit ribosomal RNA", at positions 338 to 795 of the family's 1533-position model. The record is from RNAcentral. Lineage: Bacteria; Pseudomonadati; Pseudomonadota; Gammaproteobacteria; Oceanospirillales; Halomonadaceae.
CCUACGGGUGGCAGCAGUGGGGAAUAUUGGACAAUGGGGGCAACCCUGAUCCAGCCAUGCCGCGUGUGUGAAGAAGGCCCUCGGGUUGUAAAGCACUUUCAGUGAGGAAGAACGCCUGGUGGUUAAUACCCAUCAGGAAAGACAUCACUCACAGAAGAAGCACCGGCUAACUCCGUGCCAGCAGCCACGGUAAUACGGAGGGUGCGAGCGUUAAUCGGAAUUACUGGGCGUAAAGCGCGCGUAGGUGGCUUGAUAAGCCGGUUGUGAAAGCCCCGGGCUCAACCUGGGAACGGCAUCCGGAACUGUCAAGCUAGAGUGCAGGAGAGGAAGGUAGAAUUCCCGGUGUAGCGGUGAAAUGCGUAGAGAUCGGGAGGAAUACCAGUGGCGAAGGCGGCCUUCUGGACUGACACUGACACUGAGGUGCGAAAGCGUGGGUAGCAAACAGGAUUAGAUACCCCUGUAGUC